GAUGAACGCUGGCGGCGUGCCUAAUACAUGCAAGUCGAGCGAACGGACGAGAAGCUUGCUUCUCUGAUGUUAGCGGCGGACGGGUGAGUAACACGUGGAUAACCUACCUAUAAGACUGGGAUAACUUCGGGAAACCGGAGCUAAUACCGGAUAAUAUUUUGAACCGCAUGGUUCAAAAGUGAAAGACGGUCUUGCUGUCACUUAUAGAUGGAUCCGCGCUGCAUUAGCUAGUUGGUAAGGUAACGGCUUACCAAGGCAACGAUGCAUAGCCGACCUGAGAGGGUGAUCGGCCACACUGGAACUGAGGCACGGUCCAGACUCCUACGGGAGGCAGCAGUAGGGAAUCUUCCGCAAUGGGCGAAAGCCUGACGGAGCAACGCCGCGUGAGUGAUGAAGGUCUUCGGAUCGUAAAACUCUGUUAUUAGGGAAGAACAUAUGUGUAAGUAACUGUGCACAUCUUGACGGUCCCUAAUCAGAAAGCCACGGCUAACUACGUG
This 497-nucleotide ribosomal RNA is filed under the name uncultured bacterium. RNAcentral describes it as "partial 16S ribosomal RNA". It matches the Rfam family "Bacterial small subunit ribosomal RNA", at positions 28 to 507 of the family's 1533-position model. The record is from RNAcentral.